Molecule: small RNA, 155 nt
Filed under: Brenneria salicis ATCC 15712 = DSM 30166
Lineage: Bacteria; Pseudomonadati; Pseudomonadota; Gammaproteobacteria; Enterobacterales; Pectobacteriaceae
Description: Glm Y RNA activator of glmS mRNA
Rfam family: Glm Y RNA activator of glmS mRNA
About the family: This family consists of a number of bacterial RNA genes of around 167 bases in length.
Source: RNAcentral
CGUUGCUCAUUCAACUGGUUAUGAUUGCACUGCCGACGGGCGGAAAUCUCGCUCAUAACACCCGGAAUGACGCCAAAAGAAAGGGUGCCUAUCGUCCACCAGACCGAUAAUAUUUUAUCAAGCAUCGGACGACACGUUGAGUGAGGCACCGCCUA